GCACUCGUGACUAAUUGUCAACUUUCCGCACUUGAUACACAAUAUACUAUUGACACAUGGCGACUGGGAAUAUGGACGUGAUCCUGAGUCAGCUGGAAUGACAGGAUGGCUUUCGAAUUCCUGUCGCUAACGAAGAGAACAAAUGUCUGGAGGAGGAGAUUGCUAGAAAGGUUAAACACAAGCUCUCUCUAAAUGCAAAGCUGGAAAGCCUCGAGGAACGGUUGAAGAUGAUGAAGAAACACACCAAUGAUGUAACCUUGCGGCACGAAUUCAAUCAGAAGUUGCUUGUGGAACAUUCGAUCCAGAUGGAGACAGAGGAUCAUCUGAUUUCUUUAAUGACAACACAAUUAUUUUUAUAUAUUUUUCAAUAUUUAUAAUUCUUUAUACACUUUAUAAUUUUUAUUUCUUUAUUAAAAAUACCACAAACUUAUUUUAAUAAAGUUCAAGACCCACAAAAGUAUCAAAAUGACGUCAUCAACGUCCAAAUGACAUACCUUGUAAUCUGGGGUCAUGUUGCAAUUUAAUGACGUUUAAUGACGUCGCUAGCUGCCUGUGUUUACAUCCAUUAUUUGAGAGAGAAUCUGCUAUGUUCAAUAAGACUUACUAUAUGUUUGUGAAGAAGUUGGGAUCCAAAUACUUAUCGAAUCUAUCCUCAAAUUUGAUAUUACUCUUCUUCCAAUUGACUUCAUAGCUGAAAGGUAUAUGCGCACCCUGCACUAGCUUCACCUUGUUCUCGCUAGUCAGGUUGACAUCCACUAUUUGCUUACCAUUGUACCCAAUGUCAAAUUUUUUAUGCGUCCAAAUAUAAUAGGAAUCUGAUACUGCAAC
This is a non-coding RNA of Nylanderia fulva, 828 nucleotides long. The record is from RefSeq and is a predicted model, not a curated record. Lineage: Eukaryota; Metazoa; Arthropoda; Insecta; Hymenoptera; Formicidae.